RNAcentral lists this non-coding RNA (46 nucleotides) under Schistosoma haematobium. Lineage: Eukaryota; Metazoa; Platyhelminthes; Trematoda; Strigeidida; Schistosomatidae. The record is from RNAcentral.
AUGCGCGCUGAUGAGUGCCAAAUAGGACGAAACGCGCGUUCCGAAU